AACGUAGGUUCCGAGCGUUAUCCGGAUUUACUGGGCGUAAAGCGCGUUCAGGCGGUUUGGCAAGUCGGGCAUGAAAUCUCUCGGCUCAACCGGGAGAGGUUGUCCGAUACUUCCAGACUUGAGGGCAGUAGAGGGUGGUGGAAUUCCGGGUGUAGUGGUGAAAUGCGUAGAUAUGCGGAGGAACACCGAUGGCGAAGGCAAUCCCCUGGGCCUGCACUGACGCUCAUGCACGAAAGCGUGGGGAGCAAACAGG
This 253-nucleotide ribosomal RNA is filed under the name uncultured bacterium. RNAcentral's name for it is "partial 16S ribosomal RNA". It matches the Rfam family "Bacterial small subunit ribosomal RNA", at positions 524 to 776 of the family's 1533-position model. The record is from RNAcentral.